GUUUGUGAGGGCAAGAAGGGGCAGGUAUAA
RNAcentral lists this small RNA (30 nucleotides) under Caenorhabditis elegans. RNAcentral's name for it is "Unclassified non-coding RNA C34E7.5". Lineage: Eukaryota; Metazoa; Nematoda; Chromadorea; Rhabditida; Rhabditidae. The record is from RNAcentral.